AGGUUUUAGAACUAAAAUGUUGGGGUCUGAAACUACACAUUUACCCUAUGAUUUAUCAAGUUUUAGAACUAAAUGUCGAGAACUAAAAUGUCGGGGUCAGGGGCUGAAUUGAUGAUGAGCGCUGCUGAAGCAACCUGGGGGAUGCUCAUACUUGCCACCAUCAUCAUCAUCGUUGUUUGUUUCUUCUGCCUUCUGCCUGUAUAUAAAGCCCUGCAGGCUCGCUAUACACACUGGGAGGACCCAGAGAACGAUCCAAGAUGGAAUGUAAGU
Eurytemora carolleeae is the source of this 270-nucleotide long non-coding RNA. RefSeq lists it as uncharacterized. NCBI's taxonomy places the organism in Eukaryota, Metazoa, Arthropoda, Copepoda, Calanoida, Temoridae. The transcript has 3 exons. The record is from RefSeq and is a predicted model, not a curated record.